GAUGAAGAACGUAGCAAAAUGCGAUACUUGGUGUGAAUUGCAGAAUCCCGUGAACCAUCGAGUUUUUGAACGCAAGUUGCGCCCGAAACCAUCCGGUUGAGGGCACGCCUGCCUGGGUGUCACGCAUCGCGUCGUCCCCCAACAUACUCUCCCUUUCUGGGUUGUCAUGUUGAUUGGGGACGGAGACUGGCCUCCCGUGCUUCUGGUGCGGUUGGCCUAAAUAGGAGGCCCCUUCGGUGGAUACACGGAUAGUGGUGGUUGUUAAGACCCUCGUAUUGUGCUGUGUGUUGUGAGCUGUUAGGGAAACCCUCACCAAAGACCCUAUUGUAUCGUCUUGGUACGAUGCUUCGACCGCGACCCCAGGUCAGGCGGGACUACCCGCUGAGUUUAAGCAUAUCAAUAAGCGGAGGA
RNAcentral lists this unclassified non-coding RNA (411 nucleotides) under soil metagenome. Its description in RNAcentral is "partial contains 5.8S ribosomal RNA, internal transcribed spacer 2, and large subunit ribosomal RNA". The stretch from base 1 to 122 matches the Rfam family "5.8S ribosomal RNA", at positions 35 to 154 of the family's 154-position model. The record is from RNAcentral.